UACGUAGGUGGCAAGCGUUAUCCGGAUUUACUGGGUGUAAAGGGCGUGUAGGCGGGAGUGCAAGUCAGAUGUGAGAACUAUGGGCUCAACCCAUAGCCUGCAUUUGAAACUGUACUUCUUGAGUGCUGGAGAGGCAAUCGGAAUUCCGUGUGUAGCGGUGAAAUGCGUAGAUAUACGGAGGAACACCAGUGGCGAAGGCGGAUUGCUGGACAGUAACUGACGCUGAGGCGCGAAAGCGUGGGGAGCAAACAGG
RNAcentral lists this ribosomal RNA (253 nucleotides) under uncultured bacterium. RNAcentral's name for it is "partial 16S ribosomal RNA". It matches the Rfam family "Bacterial small subunit ribosomal RNA", at positions 524 to 776 of the family's 1533-position model. The record is from RNAcentral.